GGGGAAGAGGCUCUGCGACGCGGGCGAGGGGGCUCGCCCCAUGGCCGGCCUUACAAGGCCAAGAGGGCGCGCGCCCCCGGGGCGAAGCCAGCGGCCCGGCGGGGGCGACGGCCACGCAGUGAGCGGAGGACGCGCCGAGGCGGGCGGGGGUCUCUCCCUGCGCCGCCGCGUGCGCCCCCGGGGGCGGGGCGCCCGCCCUCCCCCUGGCUGCCGGGCCUCACGUUGUCGAUGACCACAGGCUGGUUGGCGAUGAUGUCGUAGGACUCCAUGGCCGGGCCGCGCCGGCCCUGCCCAGCAGGCGGGCUGCAGGAGGCACCGGAUGGGCGGGCGGGCGGGAGGACCGGGACGGCGGCGGCUCCCGACGCGGCGCCGCUGCCCUCCCUCCCCGAGCCUGCAGCCUACGCGAGCCCCGCGGGGCUUUCUGGAGGGCGGGCCCGGCGGCCAAUCAUCGCUCCCACCUGGCCCGAUUGACAGCAGGUGCCCGGGGCUGGCUGCGCGAAGGGGGCGGGGCCUCCGGAGGCUGGCCAGCCAAUUGAGGUCGUCCGGAAAAAAGUGGUCGCGGCGUUGCCAAGGCUCCUGUUUUCCUAAUAGCAUGAACAGCCCCCCCGUCAGCUCCUACCCCUUGGUCUCUGACCUGUUCCUCCUCCGAGGUGACCUCUAUCCUGAAUUUUGAAAACAUAUUAGUAUUGCCUGUUUCUGGAC
RNAcentral lists this long non-coding RNA (702 nucleotides) under Homo sapiens (human). RNAcentral describes it as "HSALNT0304386". Lineage: Eukaryota; Metazoa; Chordata; Mammalia; Primates; Hominidae. The record is from RNAcentral.